This 424-nucleotide ribosomal RNA is filed under the name uncultured prokaryote. RNAcentral describes it as "bacterial SSU rRNA". It matches the Rfam family "Bacterial small subunit ribosomal RNA", at positions 355 to 796 of the family's 1533-position model. The record is from RNAcentral.
UGGGGAAUAUUGGACAAUGGGGGCAACCCUGAUCCAGCCAUGCCGCGUGAGUGAAGAAGGCCUUAGGGUUGUAAAGCUCUUUCAGUCGUGACGAUGAUGACGGUAGCGACAGAAGAAGCCCCGGCUAACUCCGUGCCAGCAGCCGCGGUAAUACGGAGGGUGCGAGCGUUAAUCGGAAUUACUGGGCGUAAAGCGCAUGCAGGUGGUUUGUUAAGUCAGAUGUGAAAGCCCGGGGCUCAACCUCGGAAUAGCAUUUGAAACUGGCAGACUAGAGUACUGUAGAGGGGGGUAGAAUUUCAGGUGUAGCGGUGAAAUGCGUAGAGAUCUGAAGGAAUACCGGUGGCGAAGGCGGCCCCCUGGACAGAUACUGACACUCAGAUGCGAAAGCGUGGGGAGCAAACAGGAUUAGAUACCCGUGUAGUCC